UACGAAGGUCCCAAGCGUUAUCCGGAUUUAUUGGGUUUAAAGGGUGCGUAGGCGGGCUAUUAAGUCAGUGGUGAAAUCUCCGAGCCUAACUCGGAAAUUGCCAUUGAUACUGAUGGUCUUGAGUACAUUUGAAGUGGGCGGAAUGUGUCAUGUAGCGGUGAAAUGCUUAGAUAUCGAGAGGAACACCUGCGGCGAAGGCGGGUUGCUGGGCUGACACUGACGCUGAGGCGCGAAAGCCAGGGGAGCGAACGGG
This 253-nucleotide ribosomal RNA is filed under the name uncultured bacterium. RNAcentral describes it as "partial 16S ribosomal RNA". It matches the Rfam family "Bacterial small subunit ribosomal RNA", at positions 524 to 776 of the family's 1533-position model. The record is from RNAcentral.